AGCGAACGCUGGCGGCAGGCCUAACACAUGCAAGUCGAACGAACUCUUCGGAGUUAGUGGCGGACGGGGGUGGAACACGUGGGAAGGUGCCUUUAGGUUCGGAAUAACUCAGUGUAACUUGUGCUAAUACCGAAUGAGCCCUUCGGGGGAAAGAUUCAUCGCCUUUGGAGGGGCCCGCGUCUGUUUAGCUAGUUGGUGAGGUAAAGGCCGACCAAGGCGACGAUCAGUAGCUGGUUUGAGAGGAUGAUCAGCCACACUGGGACUGAGACACGGUCCGAAAUCCUACGCGAGGCAGCAGUGGGGAAUCUUGCGCAAUGGGGGAAGGGAUGACGGAGCCAGGCCGGGUGAAUGAUGAAGGUCUUAGGGUUGUAAAAUUCUUUAAUCGGGGGCGAUACUGACGGUACCCGGAGAAGAAGCCCCGGCUAACUUCGUG
Molecule: ribosomal RNA, 433 nt
Filed under: uncultured bacterium
Lineage: Bacteria
Description: partial 16S ribosomal RNA
Rfam family: Bacterial small subunit ribosomal RNA
Source: RNAcentral